RNAcentral lists this long non-coding RNA (1080 nucleotides) under Piliocolobus tephrosceles (Ugandan red Colobus). RNAcentral's name for it is "lncRNA (ENSPTEG00000032688.1)". Lineage: Eukaryota; Metazoa; Chordata; Mammalia; Primates; Cercopithecidae. The record is from RNAcentral.
AUCAAGUAGAAUAUAGUUACAAGAAUUGCUGUUGUGCUCCUGCCUGCAAAGUUUAUCAUCUGUCAGAUUUCAAGGCCACUUUGGAUUGAUUAAUUUCUUUUUGUUUCUUAUAGCAUAUAUAUUUUUUGUUUAUUUCUUUGCAGAAAAUGUUGAUGGGAUGCCAACUGUGUACGUUUGUCCUUGUUGGAUUCAGAAUAUAUUUUGCAUUUCUUUUUCUAUUUUUUUGGAUCCAGUAAAAAAUAUUUGAAAACUGUUUGAACUUACCUUGCUUUUACACGGUCUUAGUAGAGAACCAAGCAGUCUGAUGUGACAUUUUCCCCAGUACUGAGGCAAAGCUCUUCUGAUGAGUCAACUUCAUGUCCCUUACCUGGGGCCUUUUCUCUUUCUUUGACUGUAGUGUGUGUGUGUCUGUGUGUCCUCUGAAGAGUGUUCCCUCAAGUGUCUUGGGGUGUUUUUUUCUCUUUCAGAGGGAGUUUCUUCACACACAAGCGCAAUUCAGUGCAUGAGUAUUUGCAGACUUCAGAGUUCUCUCUCUGUAUAAUCCUCUCUUCUUCAAUACUCUUACCUCUAGACUGUUUUGGUUUGUUUGUUAGUUUUUGAGUUCCCUGGAAUCCUACUCUGAGAGGGAGAAUUCCGUGCAGUAGGGGUUCGUGAUAUACUCCCAGGAAAGACGUAUAGGAGGAAUGACAGAGAAUGUGUGACAAUUGAGUGCUAAGCUAGAAGGCACUUCAAGGACAUCCUAAGUUAAGACAUGAUUUUGGGAUCGAGGCAUCAGGCAAUCAUUGCCGCUGAACUGUAUUCUGAAGGGGGCACUUUCUUGUAUGAAGGCAUUCUUUGAACUCAAUGGCAUUUUCCUGUGGGGAAACAGCUGUAGAAUCCAGGGCCUCCCUGCAGCCUUGGGUGGAUGGAGGGUGGGUGAGCCCUGAAAAGGGGAUCUAAGGGAUUUUCAGUGCUCACUGUGAAAGGCUUCCCUGUUCAGAACAUCAGGAUGCCAUGAAGCUGGGGCUUGAGGGUCUCAGUUAAACAUAGGCAGUUCAGAAAAAUAAUCAGGGCAUUUGGGCCACAGAGUAGAGGCACUGA